RNAcentral lists this non-coding RNA (25 nucleotides) under Cricetulus griseus (Chinese hamster). The record is from RNAcentral. Lineage: Eukaryota; Metazoa; Chordata; Mammalia; Rodentia; Cricetidae.
GUGUUACUUGGGGGCUGUGUUCAGG